RNAcentral lists this RNase P RNA (359 nucleotides) under Candidatus Muproteobacteria bacterium RBG_19FT_COMBO_61_10. Its description in RNAcentral is "RNase P RNA component class A". It matches the Rfam family "Bacterial RNase P class A". Rfam says of the family: Ribonuclease P (RNase P) is a ubiquitous endoribonuclease, found in archaea, bacteria and eukarya as well as chloroplasts and mitochondria. Lineage: Bacteria; Pseudomonadati; Pseudomonadota; Candidatus Muproteobacteria. The record is from RNAcentral.
GGAGUCGGCUAGACAGUCGCUGUGCCUUCGGGCAUGGAGGAAAGUCCGGGCUCCAUAGGGCAGGGUGCCAGGUAACACCUGGGAGGCGCGAGUCUAUGGAAAGUGCCACAGAAAAUACACCGCCUACGUACCCGGCUUAACGGCCGGGUGCCGGUAAGGGUGAAAUGGUGCGGUAAGAGCGCACCGCGCGUCUGGCAACAGACGUGGCAGGGAAAACCCCACCUGGAGCAAGACCAAAUAGGGGAACGUUACGUGUGGCCCACACGGUUCCCGGGUAGGUCGCUUGAGGCGCACGGUGACGGGCGUCCCAGAUGAAUGACUGUCCACGACAGAACCCGGCUUAUCGGCCGACUCCUUUC